GGAGUUGUGGCUCAGAGGUAGAGCACUUGCCUAGUAUGCUUGAGGCAAAACUGGGUUCGAUUCUCAGCACCA
RNAcentral lists this transfer RNA (72 nucleotides) under Urocitellus parryii (Arctic ground squirrel). RNAcentral's name for it is "Spermophilus parryii (Arctic ground squirrel) tRNA". It matches the Rfam family "tRNA". From Rfam's summary of the family: Transfer RNA (tRNA) molecules are approximately 80 nucleotides in length. Lineage: Eukaryota; Metazoa; Chordata; Mammalia; Rodentia; Sciuridae. The record is from Rfam by way of RNAcentral. RNAcentral also lists the same sequence under 1 other name.